Molecule: ribosomal RNA, 1294 nt
Filed under: Salmonella enterica subsp. enterica serovar Havana
Lineage: Bacteria; Pseudomonadati; Pseudomonadota; Gammaproteobacteria; Enterobacterales; Enterobacteriaceae
Description: partial 23S ribosomal RNA
Rfam family: Bacterial large subunit ribosomal RNA
Source: RNAcentral
GUUCCAGGUAAAUCCGGUUCACUUUAACACUGAGGCGUGAUGACGAGGCACUACGGUGCUGAAGCAACAAAUGCCCUGCUUCCAGGAAAAGCCUCUAAGCAUCAGGUAACAUCAAAUCGUACCCCAAACCGACACAGGUGGUCAGGUAGAGAAUACCAAGGCGCUUGAGAGAACUCGGGUGAAGGAACUAGGCAAAAUGGUGCCGUAACUUCGGGAGAAGGCACGCUGACACGUAGGUGAAGUGAUUUACUCAUGGAGCUGAAGUCAGUCGAAGAUACCAGCUGGCUGCAACUGUUUAUUAAAAACACAGCACUGUGCAAACACGAAAGUGGACGUAUACGGUGUGACGCCUGCCCGGUGCCGGAAGGUUAAUUGAUGGGGUCAGCGCAAGCGAAGCUCCUGAUCGAAGCCCCGGUAAACGGCGGCCGUAACUAUAACGGUCCUAAGGUAGCGAAAUUCCUUGUCGGGUAAGUUCCGACCUGCACGAAUGGCGUAAUGAUGGCCAGGCUGUCUCCACCCGAGACUCAGUGAAAUUGAACUCGCUGUGAAGAUGCAGUGUACCCGCGGCAAGACGGAAAGACCCCGUGAACCUUUACUAUAGCUUGACACUGAACAUUGAGCCUUGAUGUGUAGGAUAGGUGGGAGGCUUUGAAGUGUGGACGCCAGUCUGCAUGGAGCCGACCUUGAAAUACCACCCUUUAAUGUUUGAUGUUCUAACGUGGACCCGUAAUCCGGGUUGCGGACAGUGUCUGGUGGGUAGUUUGACUGGGGCGGUCUCCUCCUAAAGAGUAACGGAGGAGCACGAAGGUUGGCUAAUCCUGGUCGGACAUCAGGAGGUUAGUGCAAUGGCAUAAGCCAGCUUGACUGCGAGCGUGACGGCGCGAGCAGGUGCGAAAGCAGGUCAUAGUGAUCCGGUGGUUCUGAAUGGAAGGGCCAUCGCUCAACGGAUAAAAGGUACUCCGGGGAUAACAGGCUGAUACCGCCCAAGAGUUCAUAUCGACGGCGGUGUUUGGCACCUCGAUGUCGGCUCAUCACAUCCUGGGGCUGAAGUAGGUCCCAAGGGUAUGGCUGUUCGCCAUUUAAAGUGGUACGCGAGCUGGGUUUAGAACGUCGUGAGACAGUUCGGUCCCUAUCUGCCGUGGGCGCUGGAGAACUGAGGGGGGCUGCUCCUAGUACGAGAGGACCGGAGUGGACGCAUCACUGGUGUUCGGGUUGUCAUGCCAAUGGCACUGCCCGGUAGCUAAAUGCGGAAGAGAUAAGUGCUGAAAGCAUCUAAGCACGAAACUUGCCCCGA